Molecule: long non-coding RNA, 2727 nt
Filed under: Mus musculus (house mouse)
Lineage: Eukaryota; Metazoa; Chordata; Mammalia; Rodentia; Muridae
Description: RIKEN cDNA 4933427D06 gene (4933427D06Rik)
Source: RNAcentral
AGUUGGAAUCCCGCUCUCCUUGCACGGAGGACUUCCCUUUCGCUAGGGCAGACUCACCGGAAGCUCACUCAGGCACAAGUUCUCUCUAGCUGAGCUGCCGCUGCUCCUCCUCCUCCUCUUCCCAGGUGAUUGAUUCCAGCUUGUGUCAAGUUGACAGACAGACAAACAAACAAAAACAGGAGAGAAGAGUCCCCACAGUGAUAAGAAGCAGCUGAGCUACAAGGCCAGAAGGGCUGCAGAGAGCCAGAGGAGCUGUCUGAAGACGUGAAGGAGAUCCUGUCUCAAGAAUCUGACGGAGACCUCAUGGCAGAAGGCCCAAGUCCAAGUCAGCUUCCCUCUGAGAUGCCCGAUCAAGACUCAGAUGAGCGACCUGGAGAGCAAGGUGAUCCCUGUGUGGAACAACAAGACCCAGUGGAAGUAGACGAGCCUAAAGAGUCAGGCCAGCCUGCCAGACCCAUUGCUUAUGUACGUUCGCAGAGGUCUGAGCCCACAGAGCCCACAGAGCCAGCCGGAGCUGCAGGACGUCAUGCUGGUAGAGGAAACGAUGAAGAACAAAGAGCUUACCCUGGAAGGCAGAGACGGAGGUGGAGGCAGAGGCAGAGGCAGAGGCAGUGGGCAGAGACAGGCAGCCACUCACAGGCAGCCUUCCAGGAGUGGCAGGAACCCUCUGAGGAACUGGUUCUACAGACAUACUUCAGCCACAGUGAAGAAACAGGGGCUGCCAUGAACCUGUAUCCCACCUUGACUCCAGUAGUCCCUGUGCCAGCAGGGAUGGCCCAGUGGCCACCUAUAGUUUAUGGGUACUGGGCUGCCAUGGCUACCUACCCCUAUGUUACCUUCAUCCCUGUGGCCAACAUAGUCCCGUGCUUCAUGUCAUUCAGGGCCCCCAUGUUCUUAGCCUACAUCCCUUGGUGACUGGUAUCCCUUGGUGCUGGCCCUCCCUGGCUAUGUUUGUUUCCCCUGAGGAGGAGGAAAGCUUACAGUUGAAAAGGUUUAUUCUUUCUCAUAGUUUAGGUUCCAGUUCAUCCCAGCCAGGAAACCAGGUACCCAGCACUUACAGCUGGUCUUGACACACCCCAAAUCAGAAGCACGAAUGCAUCCUAGGUCCCCAGAUGGCUUUAGAUUUGGUGACAUUGACAGUUAACACUAACCAUUAGACUAUUUGUCCCUCCUGGGUUUAUUAUUUGAAAAAAAAUAUUUUUAUGGUCCAGUGGCCCCUUAACACUUCCCCUUCCCACUUCCUCUCUCUAUUCUAUUUUUUUAAAAAUCUGUCAUACAGCCUCAAAUGCAUGACUCUGGGAUCAUCCACUAGAGUAUGGAUAACUAAUACUGCAGAAAAAUGACUCUAUUCUAUUUUUUUAAAAAUCUGUCAUACAGCCUCAAAUGCAUGACUCUGGGAUCAUCCACUAGAGUAUGGAUAACUAAUACUGCAGAAAAAUGACUCUUCCUCCCUAGCAACCAUCAUUCACCACCAGCAACUUAGCUGGGGGUGGAGCCUCAUGAGCCCCCUCCCCAUCCAUGCUGCAAUGGUGACUGGCUUGAACUUGCAGCAUAAGGCUUUCCCAGGAAUCUUAUACCCUCAGGGAAAUGGAGUGAUGCUGUACCCCUGAAAUCGUGUAUUUGUGUAUAGAAAGAGCAAGUUACAGAGCUCAGGUGGAAUUGGGAUGCAAGAUUACAGAUUUGAACCAACAACGGAUGGGACUGAACAUCUGAUAGCCCCGACUAUCACAGAGGGGAGCCAGGAAGGAAGCAAACGGCCCCAGAAGCCGACCCAGCCGUGCCUAGAGCUGGGGAGGAUGAGUGUAUGUAUGUAUGAAGUUCUCUGAAGCAGGAUAUCCUGAUGUGGACCCUUAUAGUUUGGAGGCAGCAGUAGCUGUUGCUGAAUAGUAGUAGUAGUAGUAGUAGUAGUAGUAGUAGUAGUAGUAGUACUAGUUGUUGUUGUUGUUUUUACUAUGAUAUCUUAUUGUGUGUAUCUGUGUGGGCAUGUAUGUGGCACAGUCUGUCUAUGGAGGUCAGAGGACAACUUGCAGAGACAGCUCUUAAUUUUUACCCUGUGCAGACCCGAGCCUUGAACCCAGGCCUGUAGGCUUGGCAGAACGUUUUUACCGGAAGCACUGUCCCACCAGCCCAGGAUCCCCAAGUGAGUUGAAAGGCACUAGAAGUUCAGACUAGAUUGAAAAUGAGUAAGUCAAAGAAAAUUGGACAAAUUGAACAAAAGGCACGGGGGUUUAUGAAAGGAAACAAAGAGAGUGAGCCACAUUUAAAACACCGAGUAAGAGGCUGGGCGAUAGUGGCGCACACCUUUAAUCCCAGCACUUGUGAGGCAGAGGCAGGUGGAUCUUUGUUAAUUCUAUGCCAACCUGGUCUGCAGAGUUACAUGAUGAGACCUGUCUCAACAGAAGGCUAAGUGUGGAAUAGUUUGGUAAUAAUAGCCUUUUGGCCUCAGUGAGAAUAUUUUAAAUGUCUUCUUCUUCUUUUUUUUUUUUUAAUUAUCAUUAAUGGGAAUUUCCUGUCAGUUUUCUCAUGGAUGUCUCUGAUCAAGUUAAAAUAGUUCCUGUCUUCAGUACUCCUAAAGGUGAAUUAUAAAUUGGAUUUUGUAUUUAUGAAGUUUGUAUUUGUUUCUAAGAAAAAUGUCCAAGAAGAGUUUUUAUCAUGAAUCUUUGUAUGUGUGUGUGUGUGUGUAGUUAACUAUCCUUUUAAAUAAAUCCUCCUCUUGGGCUUUGGUUG